GAUUAAGAACGUAGCGAAAUGCGAUAAGUAAUGUGAAUUGCAGAAUCCAGUGAAUCAUCGAAUCUUUGAACGCACAUUGCGCCCGCCAGCAUUCUGGCGGGCAUGCCUGUUCGAGCGUCAUUUCAACCCUCGACCUCCCUUUGGGGAAGUCGGCGUUGGGGACCGGCAGCACACCGCCGGCCCUGAAAUGGAGUGGCGGCCCGUCCGCGGCGACCUCUGCGUAGUAAUCCAACUCGCACCGGAACCCCGACGCGGCCACGCCGUAAAACACCCAACUUCUGAACGUUGACCUCGAAUCAGGUAGGACUACCCGCUGAACUUAAGCAUAUCAAUAAGCGGAGGA
Molecule: unclassified non-coding RNA, 343 nt
Filed under: soil metagenome
Description: partial contains 5.8S ribosomal RNA, internal transcribed spacer 2, and large subunit ribosomal RNA
Rfam family: 5.8S ribosomal RNA (bases 1-120)
Source: RNAcentral